Molecule: ribosomal RNA, 305 nt
Filed under: uncultured bacterium
Lineage: Bacteria
Description: bacterial SSU rRNA
Rfam family: Bacterial small subunit ribosomal RNA
Source: RNAcentral
UGUCCUACGGGAGGCAGCAGUGAGGAAUAUUGGUCAAUGGGAGAGAUCCUGAACCAGCCAAGCCGCGUGAGGGAAGACGGCCCUAUGGGUUGUAAACCUCUUUUGUCGGAGAACAAAACCCGGGACGUGUCCCGGACUGCGUGUAUCCGAAGAAAAAGCAUCGGCUAACUCCGUGCCAGCAGCCGCGGUAAUACGUAGGGGGCAAGCGUUAUCCGGAUUUACUGGGUGUAAAGGGAGCGUAGACGGCAAUACAAGUCGGAAGUGAAAUACCCGGGCUCAACCUGGGAACUGCUUUGGAAACUGUA